GACGAACGCUGGCGGCGUGCUUAACACAUGCAAGUCGAACGGAGCGAAUGAAAGCUUGCUUUUAUAAGCUUAGUGGCAAACGGGUGAGUAACACGUAGACAACCUGCCGACAGGAUGGGGACAACAUUCCGAAAGGAAUGCUAAUACCGAAUGAAGUCAGAGAAGAGCAUCCUUUUCUGAUGAAAGAUGGCCUCUAUAUAUAAGCUAUCACCUGUUGAUGGGUCUGCGUCUGAUUAGCUGGUAGGUGAGGUAACGGCUCACCUAGGCGACGAUCAGUAGCCGGUCUGAGAGGAUGAACGGCCACAUUGGGACUGAGACACGGCCCAGACUCCUACGGGAGGCAGCAGUGGGGAAUCUUCCGCAAUGGGCGCAAGCCUGACGGAGCAACGCCGCGUGAGUGAAGAAGGUCUUCGGAUCGUAAAGCUCUGUUGAUGGGGACGAACGUGCCUAAUGCGAAUAGUAUUAG
This 466-nucleotide ribosomal RNA is filed under the name Centipeda noxia. RNAcentral describes it as "bacterial SSU rRNA". It matches the Rfam family "Bacterial small subunit ribosomal RNA", at positions 28 to 471 of the family's 1533-position model. The record is from RNAcentral. Lineage: Bacteria; Bacillati; Bacillota; Negativicutes; Selenomonadales; Selenomonadaceae.